CAGCCGCCGCGGGAAAACGUAGGUGGCAAGCGUUGUCCGGAAUUAUUGGGCGUAAAGGGCUCGCAGGCGGUUUCUUAAGUCUGAUGUGAAAGCCCCCGGCUCAACCGGGGAGGGUCAUUGGAAGCUGGGAAACUUGAGUGCAGAAGAGGGGAGUGGAAUUCCACGUGUAGCGGUGAAAUGCGUAGAGAUGUGGAGGAACACCAGAGGCGAAGGCGACUCUCUGGUCUGUAACUGACGCUGAGGAGCGAAAGCGUGGGGAGCGGACAGGAUUAGAGACCCCCGUAGUCCCUGUCUCUUAUAC
Molecule: ribosomal RNA, 301 nt
Filed under: uncultured bacterium
Lineage: Bacteria
Description: partial 16S ribosomal RNA
Rfam family: Bacterial small subunit ribosomal RNA
Source: RNAcentral